Molecule: transfer RNA, 76 nt
Filed under: Chloroflexota bacterium
Lineage: Bacteria; Bacillati; Chloroflexota
Description: Chloroflexi bacterium (soil metagenome) tRNA-Gly
Rfam family: tRNA
About the family: Transfer RNA (tRNA) molecules are approximately 80 nucleotides in length. Their secondary structure includes four short double-helical elements and three loops (D, anti-codon, and T loops). Further hydrogen bonds mediate the characteristic L-shaped molecular structure. tRNAs have two regions of fundamental functional importance: the anti-codon, which is responsible for specific mRNA codon recognition, and the 3' end, to which the tRNAs corresponding amino acid is attached (by aminoacyl-tRNA synthetases). tRNAs cope with the degeneracy of the genetic code in two manners: having more than one tRNA (with a specific anti-codon) for a particular amino acid; and 'wobble' base-pairing, i.e. permitting non-standard base-pairing at the 3rd anti-codon position.
Source: RNAcentral
GCGGGAGUAGCUCAGAUGGCAGAGCGUCAGCCUUCCAAGCUGAAUGUCGCGAGUUCGAUCCUCGUCUCCCGCUCCA